This 900-nucleotide long non-coding RNA is filed under the name Setaria viridis. RNAcentral describes it as "long non-coding RNA (SVIR_LNC003866)". Lineage: Eukaryota; Viridiplantae; Streptophyta; Magnoliopsida; Poales; Poaceae. The record is from RNAcentral.
CUUGAUGAGAAUGUAUCUUCCUUGUAUGAGCUCUGAUGACCUAGUUUAAUUCUUGCUUGAGUGAUUCAUGACGAGGUGCUUGCUCAUGUGGUGAUAAUUUUAUAAACUGCAAAACUUGACAACUUGCUUUUUCUUUUGCUUAUGUCAUAAUAUCCUCUUGAUGGCGAUGCAAUUGCUCUUUAUGAUCUACCUGCUUGUGCAUUGUCUCACUUGUAGCCUUUGUAAAUGCAUUGUCAUAUAUUUGAGAAGCUUGGUAGGUUAUACACCCAUGGCAUGCAUUUUGUGCUCCCAUGUGUAUCUUAUGUUUGCAUUUAAGGGGGAGUCUUGUUAUUUAAUGGGGAGUUUUGCAUUUGAGGGGGAGCAUGCAUUCUUUUGUUCUUGUGCAUGCAUUUCAUUAUGGCAUGUUUUCAGGGGGAGUGUAUGCAUAUUUUCAGGGGGAGUGCAUUUGUUCAAGGGGAGUAUUUGCGAGCUUUUCAUGCUCUUGUGCUCGUUUGCCGGUCGUGUUUUUACCUCUUCUUGAGGAGCCGGUGUUUGAUUUGCUCGUUUGUUGGUCACGUUGAGCUUUUUUACCUCUUCAUGGGGAGCCGGUGUUUGGUUUGAACUUUUGAUUUUCACAUGAUUGGUGUUGAGACCUUUUUACCUCUUCUUGAGGGAUCAUGUGCUUUCGAUAUUCAAAUGAUUGGUGUUGAGCCCAUUCUGCCUCUUCUUGAGGGAUCAUGUGUUCUUUGUCUCGGUUGUGUCGAGCCAUUGCUUAUGUCUUUGGGGACCGAGACUUUUCUAAGUUAAUUUGGCCUUUGUGAUGUUUCUCAUGCCGAGUGACUUUAAUCUUUGCAUUUACAUGGGUUUAGAUCACUUAGAUGAGAGUUUUGCUUAAUUGGUUUCACAACUUGGCUCUUAUGG